GACUUCAAGUGAUCCACCUGCCUUGGCCUCCCAAAGUGCUACAAUUACAGACAUGAGCCACGGCUUGACCUCAGCCAUUUUUAUUCUUUCAGAAAUGUGAUUGAUAACAGUAAAGCCGCACUCCUCACGUGCCUGAAAUAUCCCUCAUUGUCUUCUUCAGGUGGCAAGGGCUCUGGAACAGCCACAUAAAGUUCCUCACUCUGGCCAUGGACAUUUCCAUGUGAAAAUACACAUAGUGCAUCUUGCAGUCACAAGAUGCAAAGCCAUGGACAGAAAUGAGGCCACGUGCAGACGGGCCAGUUGAAAAGAUGAAAGAAGGAAAGAAUGACAGGCUCCAGAAGGCAACACUGAUUGACCGAAAGGAUGAGAAGCCGCAGUCAGUCAGGAGGUGAUUCUGACUAAGGGUAAGUGGGGUGGUGAUGGCGCACCAUUUUGAGUACACUCAAUGCUGCUGGGUGGUUCCCACUCCUUUAGUUAAUUUUGUAUUAUGCAAAUCUCACCUCAACAAUUACUUCUUUCAAAAAGAGAAAUCAAGGCUCUGAGAAACAACUACAACCCUUAACUUAUUAUUA
Macaca mulatta (Rhesus monkey) is the source of this 572-nucleotide non-coding RNA. Lineage: Eukaryota; Metazoa; Chordata; Mammalia; Primates; Cercopithecidae. The record is from RefSeq and is a predicted model, not a curated record.